Malus domestica (apple) is the source of this 525-nucleotide long non-coding RNA. RefSeq lists it as uncharacterized. Lineage: Eukaryota; Viridiplantae; Streptophyta; Magnoliopsida; Rosales; Rosaceae. The record is from RefSeq and is a predicted model, not a curated record.
CUUCUAGUAAACUUCAGUAAACCAUCGAGCUCGAAAACCCUCUCUGAUUGCAGUGCUUCAUCUCUCCAUCUCUCUCUCUCUCAUCUUUCUCUCUCUAGAACCUCAUUGUUCCCAUCAAAUGGAGACUCCGCAGCCGGCGUCUCUGCGGCCAUGGUUCCUCGAAUUGGUGCCGAUCGUGGUGGUUCUCCUAAUAGUAGCUCAUGUCCUCGCUCUGGUGUACUGGAUAUACAGAUUAGCUACUGAGAAGGAGAGGCAGCCCCAGAGGAGAAAAGCACACUGAGGAGGAACAGGUUGAUUUGUGAAAUUAAAUAAAUUAAAAACCCUAAUUUGUUGAUUUCUUGUGGAUUAGUAUUAAUUAAGUUUGAUUGAGAGCAAGUGAUUGCUGUUAGUUAUCUGUGUACUAAUAGAUUGUGGAUUUCUGAGAAAUUGAUCACUUACACGGUAUAAGAAUUGGCAGAGAUCCAUCUGAGUGUUGUUAAUUAUUAUUAUUUUUUAAUAUUUAAUUACAGUUUUUUAUUUGUGCAA